GAUGAACGCUGACAGAAUGCUUAACACAUGCAAGUCAACUUGAAUUUGGGUUUUUAACUUAGGUUUGGGUGGCGGACGGGUGAGUAACGCGUAAAGAACUUGCCUCACAGCUAGGGACAACAUUUGGAAACGAAUGCUAAUACCUAAUAUUAUGAUAAUAGGGCAUCCUAUAAUUAUGAAAGCUAUAAGCGCUGUGAGAGAGCUUUGCGUCGCAUUAGCUAGUUGGAGAGGUAACGGCUCACCAAGGCGAUGAUGGGUAGCCGGCCUGAGAGGGUGAUCGGCCACAAGGGGACUGAGACACGGCCCUUACUCCUACGGGAGGCAGCAGUGGGGAAUAUUGGACAAUGGACCGAGAGUCUGAUCCAGCAAUUCUGUGUGCACGAUGAAGUUUUUCGGAAUGUAAAGUGCUUUCAGUUGGGAAGAAACAAAUGACGGUACCAACAGAAGAAGUGACGGCUAAAUACGU
RNAcentral lists this ribosomal RNA (466 nucleotides) under uncultured bacterium. Its description in RNAcentral is "partial 16S ribosomal RNA". It matches the Rfam family "Bacterial small subunit ribosomal RNA", at positions 28 to 506 of the family's 1533-position model. The record is from RNAcentral.